GGCAACGUGGCUGAGUGGUUAUAGCGAUAGACUAGAAAUCUAUUUCCUUCGGGAGCACAGGUUCGAGUCCUGUCGUUGUCG
RNAcentral lists this transfer RNA (81 nucleotides) under Coniosporium uncinatum. Its description in RNAcentral is "tRNA-Ser". It matches the Rfam family "tRNA". From Rfam's summary of the family: Transfer RNA (tRNA) molecules are approximately 80 nucleotides in length. Their secondary structure includes four short double-helical elements and three loops (D, anti-codon, and T loops). RNAcentral also lists the same sequence under 1 other name. Lineage: Eukaryota; Fungi; Ascomycota; Dothideomycetes. The record is from RNAcentral.